Molecule: microRNA precursor, 59 nt
Organism: Oryctolagus cuniculus (rabbit)
Lineage: Eukaryota; Metazoa; Chordata; Mammalia; Lagomorpha; Leporidae
Product: ocu-mir-1343
Source: Ensembl
UGGGGAGCGGCCCCCGGGCGGGCCUCUGCUCUGGCCCCUCCUGGGGCCCGCACUCUCGU